GGCCAGACUCCUACGGGAGGCAGCAGUGAGGAAUAUUGGUCAAUGGGCUUACGCCUGAACCAGCCAAGUCGCGUGAGGGAAGACUGCCCUAUGGGUUGUAAACCUCUUUUGUCAGGGAGCAACGCCGGCUACGUGUAGCCGGACUGAGAGUACCUGAAGAAAAAGCAUCGGCUAACUCCGUGCCAGCAGCCGCGGUAAUACGGAGGAUGCGAGCGUUAUCCGGAUUUAUUGGGUUUAAAGGGUGCGUGGGCGGAAUGCCAAGUCAGCGGUAAAAUCGCGGGGCUCAACCCCGCCCAGCCGUCGGAACUGCCGGGCUAGAGUGGGCGAGAAGUGCGCGGAAUGCGUGGUGUAGCGGUGAAAUGCAUAGAUAUCACGCAGAACUCCGAUUGCGAAGGCAGCAUGCCGGCUCCACACUGACGCUGAGGCACGAAAGCGUGGGUAUCGAACAGGAUUAGAUACCCCCGUA
This 466-nucleotide ribosomal RNA is filed under the name uncultured bacterium. RNAcentral describes it as "bacterial SSU rRNA". It matches the Rfam family "Bacterial small subunit ribosomal RNA", at positions 329 to 792 of the family's 1533-position model. The record is from RNAcentral.